UUGGAACAGGAACUCAUGUGAAGCUCCAG
Molecule: non-coding RNA, 29 nt
Filed under: Mus musculus (house mouse)
Lineage: Eukaryota; Metazoa; Chordata; Mammalia; Rodentia; Muridae
Source: RNAcentral